Molecule: unclassified non-coding RNA, 591 nt
Filed under: Hevea brasiliensis (rubber tree)
Lineage: Eukaryota; Viridiplantae; Streptophyta; Magnoliopsida; Malpighiales; Euphorbiaceae
Source: RNAcentral
AGAAAUUUAAGAGAUACCCAAAAUAAAAUUAAAAAAAAAUCACAUCAAAGAAUACAAAACAUAUUCAAGCAUCAAAAUCCCAUAAAUUGAAACUUCAAAUCAAUGAAUCCAACAUCCAAAAUCAAUAAAUAAAUAUUCAACAAAUCCAAAAUCAAAUAUCAACCGUUGAAACCCAAAAUUCAACAAAAAUUAGUGAAUUCGGAAAAGGACAAAUUGCAAUGAUAAAAAAUCUUACGGUGCUUCUUUUUUUCAAAAAAAGGAGAUUAAAUGAGUAGAUGAGAGAUUGUGAGAGAGCUAUGGGCUUCUUGAUUCUUGGUGUUUUUUGAGUAUUGGAAUUAAAGUGUAUGGGUAAUUGGUGAGUAUUUGAUGCUUCCCAUUUUAAAGGUUUAGGAAUAGCCGAAAGCCAAAAAAAAUUUUUCUUUCUACUUUGGCAUGGUGUUUUGUGGAUGAGGCAAAGAAUAUUAAAGAAGAAGGAGAAGAAGAAAGGUGAGGGUGGGUGAAUUUGCCUAAAACGAGAGAGGCAUGGAAGAUAAAGAAGAAAAAGGGAAAAAUAAGGAAUAGGGUUAUGAAUAAAGGGUAAUGUGGUAAUUU